RNAcentral lists this small RNA (2550 nucleotides) under Pan troglodytes (chimpanzee). RNAcentral describes it as "retained intron". The record is from RNAcentral. Lineage: Eukaryota; Metazoa; Chordata; Mammalia; Primates; Hominidae.
AAGAAGUUCAGGGAUGACCUUUAAAGAUUCUCCCCACCCAAAAAGUAUUACCCCAUCAUCCUAUUCUCCCAUCCACCUUGAUCUUCUUCCCUGCGUCCCUAUCCAUCAACGCUAUUUGUACCCGCCACGUGUUGCCACCUCAUUCUUUUCCUUCCUCUGUGCACCCCUCCUCACCUAACCUAUAUGUCUCCCCUCACUUCUCAAUCAAAGCCGGGGACAAGGUUGUCCCACCAGCAUCUCAGACAAUGAGCCUCUCCUGGCACCUGUCGCUCUGUGCCCCUCCCUGCCCCCCCCCCCCCCCCAGUUUUCCUCAAGUCGCUUCUCUCAGUCUCUGCUUAGAUGAAUGUGUGUGCAUGUGCAAGAGAGGGAGGGCGAGCCCUUCCUCUCCUGGUCUUUGUGCAGGACCACCAUGGGUCCAUAAGACAACUUUGUGCAAAUUUGAAAAAGGCACCCUUUCCACAGAACAUGCCUGUUGGAAAAUUGUUGCAAUCCACCAAUGUGGUGAGAACAAGACACUUUUUUUCUAUCAGCUGGGAAGCUGUUAUAUUUAAUACACAAAUCGGGGGCUGGGCGUGGUGGCUCAUGCCUGUAAUCCUAGUGCUUUGGGAGGCUGAGAUGGGAGGAUCACUUGAGCCCAGUUCGAGACUAGCCUGGGCAACAUAGCAAGACCCCAUCUCUACCAAAAAAAAAUAUUUUAAUUAAUAAAUAAUAAGUAUAUAAAUCUAUCAUUUCCAAGAUGGGAGCCCUUUGUGCAGUGUACAACCUGCACAACUGUGCACAGUGGCCCAGUCUAUGUGUGUUUCUCUAUUUCCCACCUCCUUCCCCACCCUACCCCCAGUGUCCCCUCCAGUGUCCUGCUCUGGAUUUACCAUACCCCUCCCCAUCUUCAACUCUGUGUUUCCCGCCCACGUGUGUCUGAAUCCCCACCCAAGUCGCCCUCACCCCCCUUCUCUGUGCCACUUCAGCCUGGGCUGGUGCACACCAGCCCAGCAUCCUCUCCCAUGCCACCAAGCAUGGUGGACAGAGCCCCUGCCUGGGACAUGGGGAAUCUUUUCUUCCCUGGGCUGGAAGGGAGUGCCCCUCACCCCUUCCCCCUGCCAUUGCACAGAGAGCCAAGAUCCGGACAUGCCCCUGAGAUACACUUCCCACGGAGCUAUGAAUGAGUCUCGAGAUUCCGUCUGCAUGCGCCCCUGUCUGUGCUGUUCUGUGUCACAGCCUCGCUGCAUGCCUGCGAGGGGCCUGCCCCGUCAGUGGGGGGCUGCCUGCCUGCUGCUUCUCAGAGGAAUGAUGUGGUCUGUGACCAUCUGCUCUGUCCUGGUCUGGGCCAAGCCAGGGGUUGGGUGUGGGGAGCCAGCGGCGCCCCCCACCAGCGGCUGUGGUCCUGGCCCCCUCAGCCUUGGCUAUUGCAUGCACUGCUCAAAUCCAGCUUGUGCUCUUUUUCUUUGGGGUCAGACCGAAAUGGGGCCGUCCAGAAGAACUCUGGGGCAGGGCGGGGGUGGGGCAAGGAUUGAGGCAAACCCUGGAAAUGCCAGUUCUCAGCUCAAGCAGGUGGGGGGGAAAAGGAGAGGGCAGGGGACCAGAAGUACAAGAGAGCCUUUUGUGCCCUCCCUGCGGGCCACCAAGAGAAACUGAGUACUGGGACAGGUAACCUAAGUAAGGGACACCUCAGCCGCCACAGCUUUCAGAGUUCUUCCUGGGACUCCCUGGGUAGGGGCGGGUGCGGCUCACGGGAGACCCAGGAGGGAUGCCUGGGAAUGACUGCGCUUGCCUUGGGUUUUCUGUAGCGGCUUCUGCGGAUGGACCUGCCCGUCGCAGAUGACAACACCGUCCACUUCAAUUCCACCCUCAUGGCUCUGAUCCGCACAGCCCUGGACAUCAAGAUUGCCAAGGGAGGAGCCGACAAACAGCAGAUGGACGCUGAGCUGCGGAAGGAGAUGAUGGCGAUUUGGCCCAAUCUGUCCCAGAAGACGCUAGACCUGCUGGUCACACCUCACAAGUCCACGGACCUCACCGUGGGGAAGAUCUACGCAGCCAUGAUGAUCAUGGAGUACUACCGGCAGAGCAAGGCCAAGAAGCUGCAGGCCAUGCGCGAGGAGCAGGUGCGCUGUUCGCCGCUCUGGGGACACCUGGGCUGGGGACAGUGGCUUGCAUGUCACCAUGGGAACCAACUGGAAUAUGAGGGUGGCUGAGCCCCAGGGCAGGUCCCUGAAAAGUAGGGGCUGGGCACAGCAGCUCACACCUGCAAUCUCAGUGCUUUGAGAGGCCAGGGCAGAGGGAUCGUUUGAGACCAGGAUGAGACCACCCUGGGCAACACAGUGAGACUCCAUCUCUACAAAAUAAAACAUUAGCCAGGCAUGGUGGUGCACACCUGUAGUCCCAGCUAUUUAGGAGGCCAAGAUGGGAGGAUCACUUGAGGCCAGGAGUGGGAGACCAGUCUGGGCAACAUAGAAAGACCCAUAUCGCUACAAAAAAAAAAAUAAAAUUAGCUGCAUGUGGCACCAUGCACCUGUGGUCCCAGCUACUUGGGAGGCUGAGGCAGGAGAAUCACUU